RNAcentral lists this long non-coding RNA (1373 nucleotides) under Salmo salar (Atlantic salmon). Its description in RNAcentral is "lncRNA (ENSSSAG00000119861.1)". The record is from RNAcentral. Lineage: Eukaryota; Metazoa; Chordata; Actinopteri; Salmoniformes; Salmonidae.
GUUCAUAUCAAUAGUGUGGAGUAAAGGUGGUCUAGGUUCAUAUCAAUAGCGUGGAUUAAAGGUGGUCUAGGUUCAUAUCAAUAGCGUGGAGUAAAGGUGGUCUAGGUUCAUAUCAAUAGCGUGGAGUAAAGGUGGUCUAGGUUCAUAUCAAUAGCGUGGAUUAAAGGUGGUCUAGGUUCAUAUCAAUAGCGUGGAGUAAAGGUGGUCUAGGUUCAUAUCAAUAGUUGUAUAGGAGUAAAAGUCGCCUUGUUUAAUUUGGAAAGACUUUGAGGUGCUUUCGGUGGCUUAAUCCUUCCUACAGCAGGGAAGGAUUAAGUAAUAGCCUAAUGCAUUGUCGGUAAGUACAAUGAGGAAGUAGACUAAAUAUUUUGGCAUUAAUGCUGAAGAAAAACAAAACUACUUUGAUAAGGAAAUGCACUUUAACCCCCAGAGUGUCAACACAACUUCUGGAGGUCUUGGACAAUCCAUCAGAAUUAGGUUACUGUGUAAUGCUGGAGAUCUGCUAACUUCAUCCAGAUUGGUUGAGACUAAAAAUAGCCUAGACAUGAGGUUCACAGAGAUGUUCUAUCAGUGAUCCAUUGUGAUCAUAGCAUAAUAUGUAGGCUAUAAUGCAGCUAACUUGGGUCGGAAGUAUCCUUCUUCAAGGUGGAAGCUAUUUGCAUUGUACAGGAAUGACUGAUCUGUAAAAGAUCAAGACUACAGCAUGAAGUCUUGCAAGAACACAACUUCCCAGCAAAUACCAAAAUGUGCCCUGCUCUGAAGCCAUCUAGCCUACAUAUUUUCAGUCCAAACAUCCCAGCUAGCUCCUCCUUCAGAACCUGUUUCCCUUGACAUGUGAGACUGAGACUAGCGCCACCAUUUUGAUUGCCUCCUAGCCCACAGCCCACAGUUGUCACAGAGUGUAUAGUUCAGUCUCCUUGUCAGCAAGAUUUCACCGUGGCCACAGUGAGUGAGUCUGCAGGAGAGUAAGGCACACAUUGCCUUCUCUUGACUGAGUGAAUGACAUACGGUACACACCAGUUAAACUGAGGUUGAGAACUACAUGUACUGUACAUGCUGAGAACAUAAGUACAUAAAUAACAAAUCGAUUAACAAACAACUAUUCAAACUCUAAAUCUCAAAACAAUGUGUAAUAAAACAUGUAAAUUGUUCAUUUUACUUUUUGGAUAGCUCUGUCUAUCUAAUUUACUGUAGCCUAAAUUGACGAAUAGCCAUAUGGCAUAGCCUGCAUGGUGAAACGGUUGAAGUGUAGCAAACUGCUUUUGAAAGUUGUCUACUUUACUCUCAAGAACUUUGUAAGACUGCACUCCUCUGUGUGUGUGUGUGUGUGUGUGUGUGUGUGUGUGUGUGUGUGUGUGUGUGUGUGUGUGUGU